RNAcentral lists this ribosomal RNA (535 nucleotides) under uncultured soil bacterium. RNAcentral's name for it is "bacterial SSU rRNA". It matches the Rfam family "Bacterial small subunit ribosomal RNA", at positions 26 to 526 of the family's 1533-position model. The record is from RNAcentral.
AGAUUGAACGCUGGCGGCAGGCCUAACACAUGCAAGUCGAGCGGUAGAGAGGUGCUUGCACCUCUUGAGAGCGGCGGACGGGUGAGUAAUGCCUAGGAAUCUGCCUAGUGGUGGGGGAUAACGUUCGGAAACGGACGCUAAUACCGCAUACGUCCUACGGGAGAAAGCGGGGGACCUUCGGGCCUCGCGCCAUUAGAUGAGCCUAGGUCGGAUUAGCUAGUUGGUGAGGUAAUGGCUCACCAAGGCGACGAUCCGUAACUGGUCUGAGAGGAUGAUCAGUCACACUGGAACUGAGACACGGUCCAGACUCCUACGGGAGGCAGCAGGUGGGGGAAUAGUUGGACAAGUGGGACGAAAGCCUGAUCCAGCCAUGCCGCGUGUGUGAAGAAGGUCUUCGGAUUGUAAAGCUAACUUUAAGUGGGAGGUAAGGUUGUAAACUUAAUACGUUGACUAACUUUGACGUUACCGACAGAAAUAAGCAACCGGUACUAAACCGUUUCGUACGUACCCGAGUACAACGGCCCGACGGUUAAAC